GAAAUGCGAUAAGUAAUGUGAAUUGCAGAAUUCAGUGAAUCAUCGAAUCUUUGAACGCACCUUGCGCUCCUUGGUAUUCCUUGGAGCAUGCCUGUUUGAGUAUCAUGAAAUCUUCAAAGUAAAUCUUUUGUUAACUCAAUUGGUUUCUACUUUGGUAUUGGAGGUCUUUGCAGCUUCACACCUGCUCCUCUUUGUUCAUUAGCUGGAUCUCAGUGUUAUGCUUGGUUCCACUCGGCGUGAUAAGUUAUCUAUCGCUGAGGACACUGUAAAAGGUGGCCAAGGUAAAUGCAGAUGAACCGCUUCUAAUAGUCCAUUGACUUGGACAAUACUUUUAUUAUCUGAUCUCAAAUCAGGUAGGACUACCCGCUGCACUUAAGC
RNAcentral lists this unclassified non-coding RNA (378 nucleotides) under plant metagenome. Its description in RNAcentral is "partial contains 5.8S ribosomal RNA, internal transcribed spacer 2, and large subunit ribosomal RNA". The stretch from base 1 to 105 matches the Rfam family "5.8S ribosomal RNA", at positions 50 to 154 of the family's 154-position model. The record is from RNAcentral.